UAUAGUGAGAAAGAGAGAGAGGGAGAGAGAUUGAUGCAUUGAUUGAAAGAAAGAGAACACCGCGCGCGAAAGUAAGAUAGAAAGAAACUUGGUUGAGUUGGUAACGAAAAAAAAAUAAUAAUAAAAUGUUCCAGUAAUUAUAGCCGUAAUUAAUUAUGCUAUCCAAUUAAAUGCAAGAUAAUUCAAUAAUAAAAUAAUAAUAAUAAUUAAUACAUUAGAUCCUCCUCUCUAACCGUAGUUGGAAACAAUAAUUACACAAGUUGUUUAUGUCCUGUUGUAAUAUGCUACGAUUAAAAAUAAUAACCACAGUGUAGGUACAUUGUAAAGGUAUCCUAAUAAUUAAACACUGCAGUACUGCAUAACUAUUAUGAUUAUUAUGAUUAUUAUGAUUAUCAUUAUGAUUAUUAUUAUUAAACAAAAUAUAAUAUACUUAACGGUGUUUCUAGUGGAUUAAUUAAGCAUAAUAUAAUAUGAA
This is a long non-coding RNA of Diprion similis, 475 nucleotides long. RefSeq lists it as uncharacterized. The transcript has 3 exons. Lineage: Eukaryota; Metazoa; Arthropoda; Insecta; Hymenoptera; Diprionidae. The record is from RefSeq and is a predicted model, not a curated record.